CUCCCUUUGGAUGCCUGCCCAGCAGGGCAGACAGACACAGUGCCAGCUCAUCCUCCAUCAUAUGCUCUCCCCUGCACUGAAGGAGCGACAGCAAGUCCCCUCUGUCAAUGACUUUGUCACCAUUCUCAUUAUCAUAGCCAAGGACCUGAAACGCCUGUCGUAUUGUUUUCAUUGACAAGCCAAAUGCAGGCCGAUGAUUUAUAUAAAGUUUGAU
RNAcentral lists this long non-coding RNA (214 nucleotides) under Gallus gallus (chicken). The record is from RNAcentral. Lineage: Eukaryota; Metazoa; Chordata; Aves; Galliformes; Phasianidae.